UACGUAGGCAGCAAGCGUUGUUCGGAAUUACUGGGCGUAAAAAGUGUGUAGGCGGUGUUCUAAGUUUGUCGUGAAAUCUCCCGGCUUAACUGGGAGGGUGCGGCGAAAACUGGAAUGCUAGAGGAUGGGAGAGGUAAGCGGAAUUCCUGGUGUAGCGGUGAAAUGCGUAGAUAUCAGGAGGAACACCUGUGGUGGAGACAGCUUACUGGACCAUUUCUGACGCUGAGACACGAAAGCGUGGGUAGCAAACAGG
RNAcentral lists this ribosomal RNA (253 nucleotides) under uncultured bacterium. RNAcentral's name for it is "partial 16S ribosomal RNA". It matches the Rfam family "Bacterial small subunit ribosomal RNA", at positions 524 to 776 of the family's 1533-position model. The record is from RNAcentral.